RNAcentral lists this ribosomal RNA (1504 nucleotides) under metagenome. Its description in RNAcentral is "bacterial SSU rRNA". It matches the Rfam family "Bacterial small subunit ribosomal RNA". The record is from RNAcentral.
GUUUGAUCCUGGCUCAGAACGAACGCUGGCGGCGUGGCUAAGACAUGCAAGUCGAACGGAUCAUUUGCUUGGGUAACCGAAAGAAUGAUUAGUGGCGAAAGGGUGAGGAAUAGAUAGGUAACGUACCCUGUACUUCGGAAAAGCGUCAGGUGCUUGCACCUUUCCGAAAGGGGCGGUAAUACCGGAUAAUGUGGCAGAUUGCAGGAUUUGUCACCAAAGAUUAAUCGGUGCAGGAGCGGCCUAUCUCCUAUCAGCUAGUUGGUGAGGUAAUGGCUCACCAAGGCUUACGGGUAGCGGGACUGAGAGGUUGGCCCGCCACAUCGGGACUGAGACACUGCCCGGACCUCCACGGAGGGCUGCAGUAACGAAUAUUGGGCAAUGGGCGAAAGCCUGACCCAGCGACGCCGCGUGCAGGAUGAAGUCCCUCGGGAUGUAAACUGCUUUCAGGGAUUAAAAAGCUACGGUUGAUUGGUCCCAGAAGAAGUCACGACUAACUUCGUGCCAGCAGUCGCGGUAAGACGAAGGUGGCAAGCGUUGUUCGGAAUCACUGGGCUUAAAGCGCGCGUAGGCGGAAUUGUAAGUGCUUUGUGAAAUCCCUCGGCUUAACCGAGGAAUUGCUUGGCAAACUGUAAUUCUUGAGGCAGGUAGGGGUGUGUGGAACUCUUGGUGGAGCGGUGGAAUGCGUAGAUAUCAAGAGGAACGCCGAAGGUGAAGACAGCACACUGGACCUGACCUAACGCUGUGGCGCGAAAGCGUGGGGAGCAAACAGGAUUAGAUACCCUGGUAGUCCACGCCCUAAACGAUGCCUACUAGACUGUGGGGGUUCUGACACCAUCACAGUCGAAGCAAAAGUGUUAAGUAGGCCGCCUGGGGAGUACGGUCGCAAGGCUAAAACUCAAAGGAAUUGACGGGGGCUUACACAAGCGGUGGAGCAUGUGGAUUAAUUCGAAUCAACGCGCAGAACCUUACCUAGGUUUGACAUGCUUGUAUGCCGUCGUGGAAACAUGAUUGGCUGCCCUUCGGGGUGAAACUUGCACAGGUGCUGCAUGGCUGUCGUCAGCUCGUGUCGUGAGAUGUCGGGUUAAGUCCUUUAACGAGCGAAACCCUUGCCGUUAGUUACCAGCGGGUCAUGCCGGGGACUCUAACGGGACUGCCGGUGUUAAACCGGAGGAAGGCGGGGAUGACGUCAAGUCCUCAUGGCCUUUAUACCUAGGGCUUCACACGUGCUACAAUGGUGACUACAGAGCGACGCAAUGCCGCGAGGCGGAGCAAAUCGCAAAAAAGUCGCCCCAGUUCAGAUUGCAGGCUGGCAACUCGCCUGCAUGAAGUUGGAAUCGCUAGUAAUCGCGCAUCAGCGAUGGCGCGGUGAAUGUGUUCCUAAGCCUUGUACACACCGCCCGUCAAGUGAUGGGAGCCGGAAGUACCCGAAGUCGGUUUGCUGACCCGCAAGGGAGGCGACUGCCUACGGUAAGUUCGGUGACUGGCACUAAGUCGUAACAAGGUA